Molecule: ribosomal RNA, 253 nt
Filed under: uncultured bacterium
Lineage: Bacteria
Description: partial 16S ribosomal RNA
Rfam family: Bacterial small subunit ribosomal RNA
Source: RNAcentral
UACAGAGGUGGCAAGCGUUGUUCGGAAUUACUGGGCGUAAAGGGCGCGUAGGCGGUUCGUUAAGUCCUGUGUGAAAUCCCCCGGCUCAACUGGGGAACUGCACAGGAAACUAGCGGGCUUGAGUUCGGGAGAGGGAAGCGGAAUUCCUGGUGUAGCGGUGAAAUGCGUAGAUAUCAGGAGGAACACCGAUGGCGAAGGCGGCUUUCUGGACAGUAACUGACGCUGAGGCGCGAAAGCUAGGGAAGCAAACAGG